UUCAGGGGAAAGUCGUCCUGGCAGUCCUGGGCCACCUGGCUCUCCUGGACCAAGAGGUCCCCCAGGCCAUCUGGGAGUUCCUGGACCACAAGGUCCUUCUGGGCAGCCUGGAUAUUGCGACCCCUCGUCAUGUUCUGCCUACGGUGUUGGAGUGUCCCAUCCGGAUCAGCCUGAGUUCACACCCGUCCAGGACGAGCAGGAAGCUAUGGAUCUGUGGGGCUCGAGCAUCUGAUGACCUCAGGACAUGUGAGGAGCAGUGGCAGCCCUCUUCUGGAGCUUUACUUACAAAAUGUUGUCACGUGGUCUGUAUGUUACUUUGCAGGGGGAGGCAGGGCCCAUGUCAUCAGCCGAUAUUUCCUCUAUGGUUAGCAUUAAUUAUUGUUUUUUUUAAAAAAAAACUCUAUUUUAAAUCAUCCCCUUUUGUGACACCGCUGAAAUCUUGUCCCUUUGCUGUUUGAAUUGCAUGCCAGAUACUUUGGUCUUCUUCUAAAGAAGAGUGCUGAGAGAGGAACUAAAAAGGUUACUUUGAACCCCAGAAUCUCUUCUCUGUUAGAUCAUUUCAGUUUAUAAAAUAAAUGAGAGGCGUGCUUACAUUGGAGGGAAUUGGGGCCCAGUAGCGGUGGAAAAGCGCGUUUGGAGAGUCAUGGAUUAUGUCACUUUCCCAUACCCAUGGCAAUGACCUUGCUGAUAAUUAAAAUACCACCAUUGCUGAGGAAACUACCUCUUUUUGUUUAAAUUGGUCUGUCCAGUUCUUAGAUCACUCAGUAACUGGGUUCACAGGAAUUCAGAAAUAAGAGCUAGAUUAUAGCCUUUCUGGAUUUGAUAACUAAAGAAAUAGAUUCUGCUUCCCAGUAGUUUUUGGCCCAUGUAAAAUAAUGACUUCCUACCAGCUCCAAUGCAAAAGAGACCCAUUUUUAAAUGAAUAUGUAAUUUGUCCAGCAGUGUGUUUCAGGGCCUGCCUCCCCUUGACUACAGGGAUUGCUUUGUAAAUGCAGAUGUGUUUUUGAAGACUUGUUUUUAUUCUUUUUUUUAUAAGCAAAUAAAAAAACUUAAAACAA
Molecule: non-coding RNA, 1058 nt
Organism: Cricetulus griseus (Chinese hamster)
Lineage: Eukaryota; Metazoa; Chordata; Mammalia; Rodentia; Cricetidae
Source: RefSeq, a predicted model, not a curated record